This 404-nucleotide ribosomal RNA is filed under the name uncultured bacterium. RNAcentral's name for it is "bacterial SSU rRNA". It matches the Rfam family "Bacterial small subunit ribosomal RNA", at positions 11 to 396 of the family's 1533-position model. The record is from RNAcentral.
GUUUGAUCCUGGCUCAGAUUGAACGCUGGCGGCAUGCCUUAACACAUGCAAGUCGAGCGAAGCGGCUGAAUUGAUUCUUCGGAUGAUUUUCAGUUGACUGAGCGGCGGACGGGUGAGUAACGCGUGGGUGACCUGCCCCAUACCGGGGGAUAACAGCUGGAAACGGCUGCUAAUACCGCAUAAGCGCACAGAGCUGCAUGGCUUUGUGUGGAAAAACUCCGGUGGUAUGGGAUGGGCCCGCGUCUGAUUAGGCAGUUGGCGGGGUAACGGCCCACCAAACCGACGAUCAGUAGCCGGCCUGAGAGGGCGACCGGCCACAUUGGGACUGAGACACGGCCCAAAACUCCUACGGGAGGCAGCAGUGGGGAAUAUUGCACAAUGGGGGAAACCCUGAUGCAGCGACG